ACACAUGUCAAAUGCUAAAGUGAUGAUGUGUCUAUCAUAUGAAGAGAGUUGGCCAACUUUCAUAUAUAUAAUUUAC
This 76-nucleotide small RNA is filed under the name Arabidopsis thaliana (thale cress). Its description in RNAcentral is "ATSL081250". Lineage: Eukaryota; Viridiplantae; Streptophyta; Magnoliopsida; Brassicales; Brassicaceae. The record is from RNAcentral.